UUAAUCCCCUUUGGAUACAGUCAAUUUACAAUUGAAAAGAGGUCUUUAAAACAGUGGGAUAAAGGAAACAACCACUCUGUGAUGAAGAGGAAAAUAAUACUUUUAAAAGACUUUAAAAUAACAGCAAAGAGCUUAACAAGAUUUUGACUUAAGAAAGUUACAAGCGGAUAAAGGGGACGGUAUAAAUCUGAAAGAUUAACUUUUUGGUGAAAGGGCUUUUGGUGUUAUUUGGAAUUAAAUAGAUAGACCAGA
Long non-coding RNA from Candoia aspera, 252 nucleotides. RefSeq lists it as uncharacterized. The transcript has 2 exons. Lineage: Eukaryota; Metazoa; Chordata; Lepidosauria; Squamata; Candoiidae. The record is from RefSeq and is a predicted model, not a curated record.